GGCUUGGCAUGCAGUGUCGAUGUAACAGGGUCUUCUACCUGAAGGAUCUCCUGUGUGUUCCAUGCAGAACGUCCUGUGAUGAUGGGUUUUACAUGACAGAGCAGUGUAGCAUGGAGACAGAUGUCGUGUGCAAACCUUGCAGCCAUUGCAGUGGUAGUUCUUAUGAGGCUGCUGCAUGUACCACCACCCAGGACACCA
Dreissena polymorpha is the source of this 198-nucleotide long non-coding RNA. RefSeq lists it as uncharacterized. NCBI's taxonomy places the organism in Eukaryota, Metazoa, Mollusca, Bivalvia, Myida, Dreissenidae. The transcript has 3 exons. The record is from RefSeq and is a predicted model, not a curated record.